GUCCGCGGCCAGCGUGGCAAGCGGCAGUCCGAAGGGCGGCGCCGGGAACAUCAUGUAGGGCGCGUGCGCGGCCAGAGUUCCAAGUGGUACCAAGAUGAAUCUAAUUUAUUUGGAAUUGGACUGUCACCUUUCUUAACUGCUACCAUAAUUAAAAUAGAAGUCAUUUACUCUCAAACUUCAAGACUCUCAGUAAAGUGCAUUUAGAGAAGAUUCUGAAGUCAAGGACCAUUGUCAUUUCUGCAGGCUUUUUGUCUUUGUAGUAAAAAACCUCUACUUCUCGAUGUAGAAUACCAAAGAUUCCUUGUAUGAAAA
Tupaia belangeri chinensis (Chinese tree shrew) is the source of this 312-nucleotide long non-coding RNA. RefSeq lists it as uncharacterized. The record is from RefSeq and is a predicted model, not a curated record. NCBI's taxonomy places the organism in Eukaryota, Metazoa, Chordata, Mammalia, Scandentia, Tupaiidae. The transcript is spliced from 2 exons.